Molecule: ribosomal RNA, 315 nt
Filed under: Escherichia coli
Lineage: Bacteria; Pseudomonadati; Pseudomonadota; Gammaproteobacteria; Enterobacterales; Enterobacteriaceae
Also listed under: 4 other names
Description: partial 16S ribosomal RNA
Rfam family: Bacterial small subunit ribosomal RNA
Source: RNAcentral
UGGCGCAUACAAAGAGAAGCGACCUCGCGAGAGCAAGCGGACCUCAUAAAGUGCGUCGUAGUCCGGAUUGGAGUCUGCAACUCGACUCCAUGAAGUCGGAAUCGCUAGUAAUCGUGGAUCAGAAUGCCACGGUGAAUACGUUCCCGGGCCUUGUACACACCGCCCGUCACACCAUGGGAGUGGGUUGCAAAAGAAGUAGGUAGCUUAACCUUCGGGAGGGCGCUUACCACUUUGUGAUUCAUGACUGGGGUGAAGUCGUAACAAGGUAACCGUAGGGGAACCUGCGGUUGGAUCACCUCCUUACCUUAAAGAAGC